UUCGUAGGUGGCGAGCGUUGUCCGGAUUUACUGGGCGUAAAGGGAGCGUAGGCGGACUUUUAAGUGAGAUGUGAAAUACUCGGGCUCAACUUGAGUGCUGCAUUUCAAACUGGAAGUCUAGAGUGCAGGAGAGGAGAAUGGAAUUCCUAGUGUAGCGGUGAAAUGCGUAGAGAUUAGGAAGAACACCAGUGGCGAAGGCGAUUCUCUGGACUGUAACUGACGCUGAGGCUCGAAAGCGUGGGGAGCAAACAGG
This 253-nucleotide ribosomal RNA is filed under the name uncultured bacterium. RNAcentral's name for it is "partial 16S ribosomal RNA". It matches the Rfam family "Bacterial small subunit ribosomal RNA", at positions 524 to 776 of the family's 1533-position model. The record is from RNAcentral.